AGGACAGAGUGGUAUGAUGGAUGAUAUAUGACAGUGAAGCCAAGCCAAGUGCUGAAUCUCUCCAGUUGUCAUUGCAUUGGUGUGUGGGGUCAGAUGUUAUCAUGCUGAAGGAGAGGCUGCUCUAUAAGUGAACAAACUCUUUGAAUUUAUGUUUUCAGUUUUCAGAGAGUUGCACAGUACUUUUCCGAAUUUAUAGUACUACCAGUAGCCAUGAAUUCCAGGUGUGCACCACAUCUUGAAUAUCCCAGAUGAUUAUGAGUUUGCUUGUUGAUGGCAUAGUUUGAACAUUUUGAUACAAGUUAUCUUUUGUGACAAAUUCCAUGGAUAUUCUCUUGCUUUCAGGAUUAAAAUGGUGUGCCCAACUUUCAUCUCCUGUGGUAAUAUUAUUUAAGAAUCCAUCACCUUCACAUUCAUAGCUCAGAAGUAAUUGUUGACUAAUGUCCAAUCUCUUCUGUUUGCUGUGAGGAAUGACCAUUUGAAGUGCCCAUCAUGCACAAAGUUUUCAGAAUUCCAGUUCUGCAAUUAUCAUCUGCACAUGCUCCCAUGAUAUGCCACAUUUGGCUGAUAGCUGUCCUAUGUUAUGCGAUGAUUCUCUCUAAUGAAUUUAUCAACAUGAUUCUGAUGUGCUUCAUCGAUUGCAAUACAUGUUCUUCCACUUCAUUCUUUGACACACAAGUUGAGAGUUGUAUCACUGUUUUUUUCAUUAUGAGCACUAAUAGCCCAACUACAUAGAAAUGAAGCACUCAAGGCAGGUGCAUUUUGUUAUUUAAUGUGGCCCCUUAAAGAACAAAAAUGUGCUUGCUUUUGAGUGCUUGAUUUCUAUGUAGUAUUAUAUGAAAGCAAGAAGUCUAGUUAAUUACUGGUUGAAAAUAACCCAAUAGUGCACAGUACUCAUGUCUAUGCAUUCAUCCUCCUGUAAACAGCAUUCUUUUUCUGAUGAAUGUCAAUUUGGAAGCACAUUUUCUGCAGUUAGAAACUCUCACCACACAUGCUUCAGAUGCAUUGAUAUAGUGUUGUUACAUGUUGCUAUAUUUCUGACUAUAACUCGGAGAUCUUUAAUGGCAGAAGUCUGAAAUGUAUGUCAGUGAAGCAGAAAAGUCUACUGAGUAGAAUGCAUGAUAGAAUACUCCAACAUAUGUUUAGAAAAAAACAAAAGUUAGGAGGUAUUAUUUUUCAGCAUGCCUAUGUAUUUAUAUAAUUUAGGUUUAAGUUAGAGAGCUGCUUCCCUCCCAAUGAAUAUGCAAUGCCAGAUAUUGCACUUUUAUUUAGUAGUACAUCUGAAUAAAUCAAAAUUAUAAAAAUUUUAUUAUGCUACAUCUUUUGAAGGUUUUUAUACUGUUGUUAGAUCUUUCAAAUAAAUUGUUGUAAUUAGAAAAAAUUAAAAUCCUAUAUGUAUUUCUGACUUUUGGUAAUGGAUUAGUGAUGCUUUUCAGCUAUCAUUUAAAAAUUAUUAAUAUAGUAUUGUGUGUAUGUAAUGCUAUAUACAUACAGGUAGUCCCUAGUAAAUGUAGAUUUAUAGUUAUGUAGAUUCCCUGACUAAAAUCAAAAAAAUAUAAUGAUUAUAGUGGUUAAAGCUGUAACAGAGAAAUAUGAGCUCUUUUCUCUCUAAUUUCAUCAUUUAUCAUAUGUGCAUAAGUUUUCUGUGUUUAUUAAGUUAGUUUUAGUCAUUCAGCUAAGCCUGGAUCCUCCCAAGAAACUAAAGAUAUAGAAUUCAGAAUUGAACCUAGAUUCUCUAAGAUGAUAAGCAAUCCAAGAUGAACAAGCACUAGAUCUCAUCUCAUAUCAUCAUCAUCAUCAAACUGUUAUUAUAUUCCACUCUCAUUCUUUCCAUAUUGUUCAUUAUUUGUAUUAAUUAUAGUAUUAGUGCUGUCAAAUUCUAUUAACACCAUUCUGCAUUAUGAGGUGAAGAAUUAUUCUUUCAGAUUCUUCUGAUCCAUUAUUAUAAAGAUUUUUAUAUUGUUCUAAGGAACUCGUAGCCACAGACUGAAUGACUAGGCCACUCAUCUACAAGCUAGGAAAUAACUAUCAUCAUUACUGACUCCCAUAUUGAAUAUCAAGUCAAUUUUUUCCCCAGGUUUAGGAAUGGCCAGCUACUUUGUUGCAUAACUAUUUUUAUUAUUACAUCUUUGUAUCUUUGUAACAGACUGUUAUAUAGGAUAUGCUUCACAUAGAUAUGUUUUGACUUAAGUGGAUUAUUUAGUGAAAUCAUAUGUAAAUCAGGGAUUUUUGUAAUAAUCAUAAAUUGAAUUUAAGUAAAUUGAUUAUUAUUAUAUAUUAGUAAAGCACCU
RNAcentral lists this long non-coding RNA (2288 nucleotides) under Androctonus crassicauda. The record is from RNAcentral. Lineage: Eukaryota; Metazoa; Arthropoda; Arachnida; Scorpiones; Buthidae.